RNAcentral lists this ribosomal RNA (990 nucleotides) under Trinorchestia longiramus. RNAcentral's name for it is "16S ribosomal RNA". The stretch from base 772 to 930 matches the Rfam family "Archaeal large subunit ribosomal RNA", at positions 2544 to 2703 of the family's 2987-position model. The record is from RNAcentral. Lineage: Eukaryota; Metazoa; Arthropoda; Malacostraca; Amphipoda; Talitridae.
GUAAGUACUUUUAAGGAAGUAAAGAUAAAUUAGUAGUCUUCCUUUUGUAUCAGGAUCUUUUUAUUUGUUUAUUUUAUUUAGGAAUCUCGAAGUUUUGCGGACUAUGUUUGAUAUUUGUAUAAUCAUAUAAUGUAUUUCAUAGUAAUGAUAUGUUUUCGAGCAAAAAUAGCUAGUUUGGGUUAAGCGUGGAGCAGGGGUAAGUCCUGUUUUUGUAAUAUAUUUAUGUUGAGAGAAAAAAUUAUUUUUUAUAUUAAAUGUAUUUUUAGUUUGUUAUUAAUUAUCUGUUUCUUUGAUCUAAUAUUGUGAAUAAACCUUUAUUCAAAUUACAGUAUUUUUAUAAUGAGAGAAUUAUUAAGUAAGCAGAAAAUUUAAUAAAGUACUCGUAAAUUUUUUGAAUGUUUAGCAAAAACAUUUCUUUUUGUGGGUAUAAAAGUAUGAUCUGCCCAGUGAGACUUAAACGGCUGCGGUAUUUUGACCGUGCUAAGGUAGCAAAAUCAUUUGUUUUUUAAUUGAAAACUGGAAUGAAGGAUUUAACAGAUGAAUUUUUAUUUUAAUAUAUUUUAUUUAAUUUAUAAUUUAUUUAAAAAUAAAUAAAUGAGAAAAAGGGACGAUAAGACCCUAAAAGCUUUAUUAUUUUUAUGUUCUUAUUUUUUGUUUUUAUUUGAAGGUAGUAAGAAUAUUUUGGCUGGGGCAGUGGUUUUUUUAAAACAAAAAAUUAAGAUAGAUGUUAUGGUCCUUUUUAUAAGGAUAAUUAGUAUAAGUUACUUUAGGGAUAACAGAAUAAUAAUAAUGGGGAGACCUUAUCUAUAUUAUUGAUUGUUACCUCGAUGUUGAAUUAGGUUUCUAUAUAAAGCAGGAAUUAUAUUUUGGGAGUUUGUUCAACUUUUAAAAAUCUACAUGAUUUGAGUUCAAAUCGGUUUAAGCCAGAUUGGUUUCUAUCUUUUUUAGUUUAUAUUGCUGUUUUAGUACGAAAGGACCGGGCAGUGUUUA